UCGCGGCUUAUCACCGGCAGUCCCCUUAGAGUGCCCAACUGAAUGGUGGCAACUAAGGGCGAGGGUUGCGCUCGUUGCGGGACUUAACCCAACAUCUCACGACACGAGCUGACGACAGCCAUGCAGCACCUGAACCAGCGGUCCCCGAAGGGAAAGUCCUAUUUCUAGGAAGGUCCGCUGUUGUCUAGUCCAGGUAAGGUUAUUCGCGUUGCAUCGAAUUAAUCCACAUCAUCCACCGCUUGUGCGGGUCCCCGUCAAUUCCUUUGAGUUUUAGCCUUGCGGCCGUACUCCCCAGGCGGGGCGCUUAAUGCGUUAGCUGCGGCACGGAAACCAUGGAAAGGUCCCCACACCUAGCGCCCAACGUUUACGGCAUGGACUAC
RNAcentral lists this unclassified non-coding RNA (380 nucleotides) under uncultured bacterium. RNAcentral describes it as "contains 16S-23S intergenic spacer region". The record is from RNAcentral.